This is an RNA transcript of Cornus florida, 1237 nucleotides long. It is a transcript of the gene named transcription initiation factor TFIID subunit 11, with no coding region annotated. NCBI's taxonomy places the organism in Eukaryota, Viridiplantae, Streptophyta, Magnoliopsida, Cornales, Cornaceae. The record is from RefSeq and is a predicted model, not a curated record. The transcript has 8 exons.
CAAGUUUCAGACGACACAAUCUGCUUCGACACUCAGCAGGGCGCAGCCUCCGCUAUUGCCUCAGCUAUCGCCUCAGGUGACAAGCUGGACACUCUUCUUAGGAUAUCGUGAUGUUAUUUGCCUUGAACUUGAAUCAAAUCAUUGCAUAUUGAGAGAAGAUAAUGAAGCAAUCAAAGGAUCCUUUUGAAGUUGCAUUUGAGGAGCAAGAGGAAUCACCACCUAAUUCCCCCAUCGCCCCUGAUGGGAUCGAAACUCAAACUACCGCUGCACAGGUCACUCUUAAUCUUCAGGAAGAUGAAGAUGAAGAUGAUAGAGCCGGUAUUCAUCCUACGAAGCCAUCAACAUCGACUGCUGCUGCUGCAUCAAACUCCAUUGGGACCACUAUCCGAACCCGCAAGAGCAAAGAAGAAGAAGAGGAGGAAGAGGACGAAAACAUGGAUGUUGAGCUUGGAAAGCUUCCAUCUACUGGGGACCCCGAUAAAAUGGCCAAGAUGCAGGCUAUUUUGUCACAAUUCACAGAGGAACAAAUGAGUAGAUAUGAAUCGUUCCGCAGAUCUGGAUUUCAGAAAGCAAACAUGAAAAGGUUGUUAUCAAACAUCACUGGAAGUGCAAAAAUUUCUGUACCAAUGACAAUCGUGGUGUCAGGAAUAGCAAAAAUGUUUGUUGGUGAACUUGUUGAAACAGCCAGAAUGGUGAUGACAGAGAGAAAGGAGAGUGGGCCAAUCAGGCCUUGCCACAUAAGGGAAGCACAUAGGAGACUAAAACUUGAAGGCAAGGUACCAAAAAGAUCGGUGCCGAGACUCUUCCGGUAGAUUUACCUGGAGCAGCUUUGUGCUGAAAAUUUCAGUUGCAGAAGAAUCCGAAGGUCGGGCAUAAAAACAUGGAUAUGAUCAUUCGACUAUACUAAGCAUAGGCAAGUUCACAUAAGUCUUCCUUGGAUGCUAUGCUUUUCACUUAUUUCAGAGUUCGUGUUGAGGAAGGAUCUUAUUUUGGAGCACUCAUACGAUGCAGUGGGUGGAGAGGAGCAAGUUGCUGAGUCCCUGAAGAAAAUGGUUCCCACAAAUGAUCAUUUUGGUGAAUACAAAAACCUACUGCCAUACUUUGAAGGAAAAGAAGCGUUUCCCUAAAUAAUCAACAGACAAUAAGAAAUGAUUGUUAAAUCUAUUGGAUCACCUUUGUUGCUUCCACAAACAUGGUUAUGUGGUGUUCCUUCUGGCAUUUAAUCUUUUUUUUUUUU